UACAGGGGGUGCAAACGUUGCUCGGAAUCAUUGGGCGUAAAGCGCACGUAGGCGGUUCGUUAUGUCGGAUGUGAAAGCCCUUGGCUUAACCGAGGGAGUGCAUCCGAAACUGGCGAGCUAGAGUACUAAAGAGGAUCGCGGAAUUCCCGGUGUAGAGGUGAAAUUCGUAGAUAUCGGGAGGAACACCGGUGGCGAAGGCGGCGAUCUGGGUAGAUACUGACGCUGAGGUGCGAAAGCGUGGGGAGCAAACAGG
This 253-nucleotide ribosomal RNA is filed under the name uncultured bacterium. RNAcentral describes it as "partial 16S ribosomal RNA". It matches the Rfam family "Bacterial small subunit ribosomal RNA", at positions 524 to 776 of the family's 1533-position model. The record is from RNAcentral.